CUACUGUGAUGAGUCCCAAACAGGACGAAAUGGUUGUCCAGUAC
This 44-nucleotide non-coding RNA is filed under the name Trichobilharzia regenti. The record is from RNAcentral. Lineage: Eukaryota; Metazoa; Platyhelminthes; Trematoda; Strigeidida; Schistosomatidae.